AUACGGAGGAUGCGAGCGUUAUCCGGAUUUAUUGGGUUUAAAGGGAGCGUAGGUGGGAUAUUAAGUCAGCUGUGAAAGUUUGGGGCUCAACCUUAAAAUUGCAGUUGAUACUGGGUGUCUUGAGUACAGUAGAGGCAGGCGGGAUUCGUGGGGUAGCGGGGAAAUGCUUAGAUAUCACGAAGAACUCCGAUUGCGAAGGCAGCUUGCUGGACUGUAACUGACGCUGAUGCUCGAAAGUGUGGGUAUCAAACAGGAUUAGAUACCCUGGUAGUCCGCACAGUAAACGAUGAAUACUCGCUGUUUGCGAUACACUGUAAGCGGCCAAGCGAAAGCGUUAAGUAUUCCACCUGGGGAGUACGCCGGCAACGGUGAAACUCAAAUGAAUUGACGGGG
RNAcentral lists this ribosomal RNA (393 nucleotides) under uncultured bacterium. RNAcentral's name for it is "partial 16S ribosomal RNA". It matches the Rfam family "Bacterial small subunit ribosomal RNA", at positions 523 to 918 of the family's 1533-position model. The record is from RNAcentral.